RNAcentral lists this ribosomal RNA (429 nucleotides) under bacterium. RNAcentral's name for it is "partial 16S ribosomal RNA". It matches the Rfam family "Bacterial small subunit ribosomal RNA", at positions 355 to 776 of the family's 1533-position model. The record is from RNAcentral. RNAcentral also lists the same sequence under 1 other name.
UAGGGAAUCUUCCACAAUGGACGCAAGUCUGAUGGAGCAACGCCGCGUGAGUGAAGAAGGUUUUCGGAUCGUAAAGCUCUGUUGUUGGUGAAGAAGGAUAGAGGCAGUAACUGGUCUUUAUUUGACGGUAAUCAACCAGAAAGUCACGGCUAACUACGUGCCAGCAGCCGCGGUAAUACGUAGGUGGCAAGCGUUGUCCGGAUUUAUUAGGCGUAAAGCGAGCGCAGGCGGAAUGAUAAGUCUGAUGUGAAAGCCCACGGCUCAACCGUGGAACUGCAUCGGAAACUGUCAUUCUUGAGUGCAGAAGAGGAGAGUGGAAUUCCAUGUGUAGCGGUGGAAUGCGUAGAUAUAUGGAAGAACACCAGUGGCGAAGGCGGCUCUCUGGUCUGCAACUGACGCUGAGGCUCGAAAGCAUGGGUAGCGAACAGG